GAAGGUAUAGCUCAAGUGGCAGAGGGCAUGCUUCGCAGGCACAAGGUCCUGAGUUCAAUCCCCAGUACCUCCA
RNAcentral lists this transfer RNA (73 nucleotides) under Camelus ferus (Wild Bactrian camel). It matches the Rfam family "tRNA". Rfam says of the family: Transfer RNA (tRNA) molecules are approximately 80 nucleotides in length. Their secondary structure includes four short double-helical elements and three loops (D, anti-codon, and T loops). Lineage: Eukaryota; Metazoa; Chordata; Mammalia; Artiodactyla; Camelidae. The record is from Rfam by way of RNAcentral.